RNAcentral lists this ribosomal RNA (110 nucleotides) under Klebsiella pneumoniae. RNAcentral's name for it is "partial 16S ribosomal RNA". It matches the Rfam family "Bacterial small subunit ribosomal RNA", at positions 1434 to 1533 of the family's 1533-position model. The record is from RNAcentral. Lineage: Bacteria; Pseudomonadati; Pseudomonadota; Gammaproteobacteria; Enterobacterales; Enterobacteriaceae.
CUUAAGCUUCGGGAGGGCGCUUACCACUUUGUGAUUUAUGACUGGGGUUAAGUCGUAACAAGGUAACCGUAGGGGAUACUGCGGUUGGAUCACCUCCGUCCCUUAAUGAA